CGCACAUUGCGCCCUUUGGUAUUCCGAAGGGCAUGCCUGUUCGAGCGUCAUUUCACCACUCAAGCCUGGCUUGGUAUUGGGCGUCGCGGCUCCGCGCGCCUUAAAGUCUCCGGCUGAGCUGUCUGUCUCUAAGCGUUGUGGAAUUUAACUAUUUUCGCUUCGGAGUGCAGGCGGCCGCGGCCGUUAAAUCUUUAUACAAGGUUGACCUCGGAUCAGGUAGGGAUACCCGCUGAACUUAA
RNAcentral lists this unclassified non-coding RNA (239 nucleotides) under Pseudocercospora sphaerulinae. Its description in RNAcentral is "partial contains 5.8S ribosomal RNA, internal transcribed spacer 2, and large subunit ribosomal RNA". Lineage: Eukaryota; Fungi; Ascomycota; Dothideomycetes; Mycosphaerellales; Mycosphaerellaceae. The record is from RNAcentral.